Molecule: ribosomal RNA, 552 nt
Filed under: Enterobacter sp. PP002
Lineage: Bacteria; Pseudomonadati; Pseudomonadota; Gammaproteobacteria; Enterobacterales; Enterobacteriaceae
Description: partial 16S ribosomal RNA
Rfam family: Bacterial small subunit ribosomal RNA
Source: RNAcentral
AGCUUGCUCCUGGGUGACGAGCGGCGGAGGGGUGAGUAAUGUCUGGGAAACUGCCUGAUGGAGGGGGAUAACUACGGGAAACGGUAUCUAAUACCGCAAAACGUCGCAAGACCAAAGAGGGGGACCUUCGGGCCUCUGGCCAUCAAAUGUGCCCAGAUGGGAUUAUCUAGUAGGGGGGGUAACGGCUCACCUAGGCGACAAUCCCUAUCUGGUCUGAGAGGAUGACCCCCCCCACUGGAACUGAGACACGGUCCACACUCCUACGGGGGGCACCAGUGGGGAAUAUUGCACAAUGGGCGCACGCCUGAUGCACCCCUGCCGCGUGUAUAAAAAAGGCCUUCGGGUUGUAAAAUAUUUUCAGCGGGGAGGAAGGCGAUAAGGUUAAUAACCUUGUCGAUUGACUUUCCCCCCAAAAAAAACACCGGCUAACUCCGUGCCACCACCCGCGGUAAUACGGAGGGUGCAAGCGUUAAUCGGAAUUACUGGGCGUAAAGCGCACGCAGGCGGUCUGUCAAGUCGGAUGUGAAAUCCCCGGGCUCACCCUGGGAACUG